RNAcentral lists this ribosomal RNA (465 nucleotides) under uncultured bacterium. Its description in RNAcentral is "partial 16S ribosomal RNA". It matches the Rfam family "Bacterial small subunit ribosomal RNA", at positions 28 to 507 of the family's 1533-position model. The record is from RNAcentral.
GACGAACGCUGGCGGCGUGCUUAACACAUGCAAGUCGUACGGUAAGGCCCUUUCGGGGGUACACGAGUGGCGAACGGGUGAGUAACACGUGAGUAACCUGCCCACAACUUUGGGAUAACGCUAGGAAACUGGUGCUAAUACUGGAUAUGUGCUCCUGCUGCAUGGUGGGGGUUGGAAAGCUCCGGCGGUUGUGGAUGGACUCGCGGCCUAUCAGCUUGUUGGUGGGGUAGUGGCCUACCAAGGCGGCGACGGGUAGCCGGCCUGAGAGGGUGACCGGCCACAUUGGGACUGAGAUACGGCCCAGACUCCUACGGGAGGCAGCGGUGGGGAAUAUUGCACAAUGGGCGCAAGCCUGAUGCAGCAACGCCGCGUGCGGGAGGACGGCCUUCGGGUUGUAAACCGCGUUCAGCAGGGACGAAGCUUUUUGUGACGGUACCUGCAGAAGAAGCACCGGCUAACUACGUG